RNAcentral lists this transfer RNA (72 nucleotides) under Pseudogymnoascus sp. WSF 3629. It matches the Rfam family "tRNA". Rfam says of the family: Transfer RNA (tRNA) molecules are approximately 80 nucleotides in length. Their secondary structure includes four short double-helical elements and three loops (D, anti-codon, and T loops). Lineage: Eukaryota; Fungi; Ascomycota; Leotiomycetes; Thelebolales; Thelebolaceae. The record is from Rfam by way of RNAcentral.
GGCCUUAUAGUAUAAUAGUAACAUCCUUAUUUCUAAACUAAGAGGUUAUAGGUUUAACCUUUAUUAAGGCUA